This 254-nucleotide ribosomal RNA is filed under the name uncultured bacterium. Its description in RNAcentral is "partial 16S ribosomal RNA". It matches the Rfam family "Bacterial small subunit ribosomal RNA", at positions 524 to 776 of the family's 1533-position model. The record is from RNAcentral.
UACAGAGGUCUCAAGCGUUGUUCGGAUUCAUUGGGCGUAAAGGGUGCGUAGGUGGCGCCGUAAGUCAGGUGUGAAAUUUCGGAGCUCAACUCCGAAACUGCAUUUGAUACUGCGGUGCUUGAGGACUGGAGAGGAGACUGGAAUUCCGGGUGUAGCGGUGAAAUGCGUAGAUAUCCGGAGGAACACCGGUGGCGAAGGCGGCUUCCUGGACCGAUUACUGACGCUGAGGCGCGAAAGCUAGGGGAGCAAACGGG